GUGGGGAAUUUUGGACAAUGGGCGCAAGCCUGAUCCAGCAAUGCCGCGUGCAGGACGAAGGCCUUCGGGUUGUAAACUGCUUUUGUACGGAGCGAAACGGCUUUCUCUAAUACAGGGGGCUAAUGACGGUACCGUAAGAAUAAGCACCGGCUAACUACGUGCCAGCAGCCGCGGUAAUACGUAGGGUGCGAGCGUUAAUCGGAAUUACUGGGCGUAAAGCGUGCGCAGGCGGUUUUGUAAGACAGAUGUGAAAUCCCCGGGCUCAACCUGGGACCUGCAUUUGUGACUGCAAAGCUGGAGUGCGGCAGAGGGGGAUGGAAUUCCGCGUGUAGCAGUGAAAUGCGUAGAUAUGCGGAGGAACACCGAUGGCGAAGGCAAUCCCCUGGGCCUGCACUGACGCUCAUGCACGAAAGCGUGGGGAGCAAACAGGAUUAGAUACCCGUGUAGUCC
This 450-nucleotide ribosomal RNA is filed under the name uncultured bacterium. RNAcentral's name for it is "bacterial SSU rRNA". It matches the Rfam family "Bacterial small subunit ribosomal RNA", at positions 354 to 796 of the family's 1533-position model. The record is from RNAcentral.